Long non-coding RNA from Aquila chrysaetos chrysaetos, 322 nucleotides. RefSeq lists it as uncharacterized. The record is from RefSeq and is a predicted model, not a curated record. NCBI's taxonomy places the organism in Eukaryota, Metazoa, Chordata, Aves, Accipitriformes, Accipitridae. The transcript has 3 exons.
CCUAGUAUGUGCAGUGCUAAUGGGGAGAUAAAGAAAAAAUAAGCACACCACCUGAUUUUAAGCACCUAAUUUAGGUUAGGAGGCUUAUCUUGUUAGGCUUUUGUAGGGGACUGGGGGAUAGCCAGAGUUGUGUUCCUAAGCCAUCGGAUGCUCUAAAUCACCCUCUGGCAAAGCCUGCUUCCUUCUUAUAAAGCAAGCUCAGGGAAAUGAACCAUCCAGGUUGGGUGGGUAAUUCUGCUCAUUUGUAGGACCUUGAAAAAAGGCAAUCAGCAGGAACAGCUUGGAAAUCUGCUGAACAGAAGGACCUAAAGAAAGCUGCUAU